Molecule: ribosomal RNA, 309 nt
Filed under: Triticum aestivum (bread wheat)
Lineage: Eukaryota; Viridiplantae; Streptophyta; Magnoliopsida; Poales; Poaceae
Description: partial small subunit ribosomal RNA
Source: RNAcentral
AUGUUCAUAGAUGUUUCGGUUCUAUGUUCGGUACGUGCUCAUAUGUUUAGAUUUCAGCACGAGCUUCAUACUCUUAAUGCCAUGUUCAUGAUCUAUUCAUGGAUUAAGUUAAUCCAAAUAGUGGUAAUAUACCAAGCAGUUUCUUACUCAACGUAUUAUUGGGAAAUUUGGCAAUUCUACAUACUCCCUUAUUUUUGUUUUAUUGGGCUGAUCUUGAAAAUCACAUCAACCAAAGAGGAUAUAUUUAAGUGCUACAGACAACAUAUUGAUGCUACAUGCGUGACUCUCACUCCUUCAUGCACUAUUUGA